UGUUGUUUGGUCUGGGUAAGGUCUUGUAAACUAAAUUUAUGUGGUGAUAAGUGAGUCGUAAAGCUUUAUAACUGUUUGGUUGUUUAGAAUUUAGUGGGAUGUAGGUGGCUAUUAGGUCAUUUAUAUUUUUAUACAUUUGGUGAUGUGUGGUUUUUGAUAAGGUUAGAGGUACCUAGUUUUUGUUAUAUUGUUGUAAAUAUGGUUUUGUUGGUUUAUUGGUAUGUUAAUUGUUUGAACAACUGUUUUGCUAUAUUUGGUUAUUAUAUUAUCGUUGAAUAAGUAAUUUUAUUAUGCUAUUUAUUUCUUGAGUUCUUUCCGUCUGUUUAUUAAAAACAUUUCUAAUUUUAAUUGUGGUUAGUAGUGCCUGCCCAAUGUUGGUUAAUUAAUGGCCGCAGUAUAUUGACUGUGCAAAGGUAGCAUAAUUAAUUGCCUUUUAAUUGGAGGCUUGUUUGAAUGGUUUGACGUGAUUGGUAUGAAUAUUUGGUAUUUAGUUGAAAUUGAUUUUGAGGGUUUAGAAUCCUUAAUGUUUAAUAAGACGGAAAGACCCUAGGAUCUUUUGUUUUUGUUUGGGGCAAAUAUUGUUGUUUUAUGAAUAUUGUGACCCUGAGAUGAUAUUGGUUUAUUGGGUUAAG
RNAcentral lists this ribosomal RNA (632 nucleotides) under Echinococcus granulosus. RNAcentral describes it as "partial 12S ribosomal RNA". The stretch from base 315 to 467 matches the Rfam family "Archaeal large subunit ribosomal RNA", at positions 1887 to 2086 of the family's 2987-position model. The record is from RNAcentral. Lineage: Eukaryota; Metazoa; Platyhelminthes; Cestoda; Cyclophyllidea; Taeniidae.